This 372-nucleotide ribosomal RNA is filed under the name uncultured organism. RNAcentral's name for it is "bacterial SSU rRNA". It matches the Rfam family "Bacterial small subunit ribosomal RNA", at positions 526 to 896 of the family's 1533-position model. The record is from RNAcentral.
CAGAGGUGCCGAGCGUUAGGCGGAAUCACUGGGCUUAAAGCGUGUGUAGGCGGACUUCUAAGUACCUUGUGAAAUCCCACGGCUUAACCGUGGAACUGCUUGGUAUACUGGUUGUCUUGGGUCAUCUAGGGGCGAGCGGAACAAACGGUGGAGCGGUGAAAUGCGUAGAUAUCGUUUGGAACGCCAAUGGUGAAAACAGCUCGCUGGGGAUGCACCGACGCUGAGACACGAAAGCCAGGGGAGCGAACGGGAUUAGAUACCCCGGUAGUCCUGGCUGUAAACGAUGUCGACUAGAUCGUAGUGGCUCUGACGCUAUUACGGUCGAAGCAAAAGUGCUAAGUCGACCGCCUGGGAAGUACGGUCGCAAGGCUA